RNAcentral lists this ribosomal RNA (473 nucleotides) under uncultured bacterium. RNAcentral's name for it is "bacterial SSU rRNA". It matches the Rfam family "Bacterial small subunit ribosomal RNA", at positions 335 to 801 of the family's 1533-position model. The record is from RNAcentral.
ACUCCUACGGGAGGCAGCAGUAGGGAAUCUUCCACAAUGGGCGCAAGCCUGAUGGAGCAACACCGCGUGAGUGAAGAAGGGUUUCGGCUCGUAAAGCUCUGUUGUUAAAGAAGAACACGUAUGAGAGUAACUGUUCAUACGUUGACGGUAUUUAACCAGAAAGUCACGGCUAACUACGUGCCAGCAGCCGCGGUAAUACGUAGGUGGCAAGCGUUAUCCGGAUUUAUUGGGCGUAAAGAGAGUGCAGGCGGUUUUCUAAGUCUGAUGUGAAAGCCUUCGGCUUAACCGGAGAAGUGCAUCGGAAACUGGAUAACUUGAGUGCAGAAGAGGGUAGUGGAACUCCGUGUGUAGCGGUGGAAUGCGUAGAUAUAUGGAAGAACACCAGUGGCGAAGGCGGCUACCUGGUCUGCAACUGACGCUGAGACUCGAAAGCAUGGGUAGCGAACAGGAUUAGAUACCCUGGUAGGAUAGCG